RNAcentral lists this ribosomal RNA (253 nucleotides) under uncultured bacterium. RNAcentral's name for it is "partial 16S ribosomal RNA". It matches the Rfam family "Bacterial small subunit ribosomal RNA", at positions 524 to 776 of the family's 1533-position model. The record is from RNAcentral.
GACGGAGGGUGCGAGCGUUGUUCGGAAUUACUGGGCGUAAAGCGCGCGCAGGUGGGUGCGUAAGUCGGAGGUGAAAGCGCAGGGCUCAACCCUGGGAUGCCGGUCGAUACUGCCGGACUAGAGUUCGGAAGGGGCGAGUGGAAUUCCCGGUGUAGCGGUGAAAUGCGCAGAUAUCGGGAGGAACACCUAUGGCGAAGGCAGCUCGCUGGGCUGAGAUUGACGCUCAGGCACGAAAGCGUGGGGAGCAAACAGG